RNAcentral lists this ribosomal RNA (360 nucleotides) under uncultured bacterium. RNAcentral's name for it is "bacterial SSU rRNA". It matches the Rfam family "Bacterial small subunit ribosomal RNA", at positions 335 to 683 of the family's 1533-position model. The record is from RNAcentral.
ACUCCUACGGGAGGCAGCAGUGGGGAAUAUUGCACAAUGGGCGCAAGCCUGAUGCAGCCAUGCCGCGUGUGUGAAGAAGGCCUUCGGGUUGUAAAGCACUUUCUAGUCGUGAGGAAGGUAGUAGUAGUUAAUAGCUAGCUAUUAUUUGUACGUUAGCGACAGAAGAAGCACCGGCUAACUCCGUGCCAGCAGCCGCGGUAAUACGGAGGGUGCGAGCGUUAAUCGGAAUUACUGGGCGUAAAGCGCAUGCAGGUGGUUGUUAAGUCAGAUGUGAAAGCCCGGGGCUCAACCUCGGAAUAGCAUUUGAAACUGGCAGACUAGAGUACUGGUAGAGGGGGUAGAAUUUCAGGUGUAGCGGUG